Molecule: ribosomal RNA, 557 nt
Filed under: Penicillium marinum
Lineage: Eukaryota; Fungi; Ascomycota; Eurotiomycetes; Eurotiales; Aspergillaceae
Description: partial large subunit ribosomal RNA
Rfam family: Eukaryotic large subunit ribosomal RNA
Source: RNAcentral
GCCCAGUAACGGCGAGUGAAGCGGCAAGAGCUCAAAUUUGAAAGCUGGCUCCUUCGGGGUCCGCAUUGUAAUUUGCAGAGGAUGCUUCGGGAGCGGUCCCCAUCUAAGUGCCCUGGAACGGGACGUCAUAGAGGGUGAGAAUCCCGUAUGGGAUGGGGUGUCCGCGCCCGUGUGAAGCUCCUUCGACGAGUCGAGUUGUUUGGGAAUGCAGCUCUAAAUGGGUGGUAAAUUUCAUCUAAAGCUAAAUAUUGGCCGGAGACCGAUAGCGCACAAGUAGAGUGAUCGAAAGAUGAAAAGCACUUUGAAAAGAGAGUUAAAAAGCACGUGAAAUUGUUGAAAGGGAAGCGCUUGCGACCAGACUCGCUCGCGGGGUUCAGCCGGCAUUCGUGCCGGUGUACUUCCCCGCGGGCGGGCCAGCGUCGGUUUGGGCGGUCGGUCAAAGGCCCUCGGAAGGUAACGCCCCUAGGGGCGUCUUAUAGCCGAGGGUGCAAUGCGACCUGCCUAGACCGAGGAACGCGCUUCGGCUCGGACGCUGGCAUAAUGGUCGUAAGCGACCC